Molecule: transfer RNA, 65 nt
Filed under: Rattus norvegicus (Norway rat)
Lineage: Eukaryota; Metazoa; Chordata; Mammalia; Rodentia; Muridae
Rfam family: tRNA
About the family: Transfer RNA (tRNA) molecules are approximately 80 nucleotides in length. Their secondary structure includes four short double-helical elements and three loops (D, anti-codon, and T loops). Further hydrogen bonds mediate the characteristic L-shaped molecular structure. tRNAs have two regions of fundamental functional importance: the anti-codon, which is responsible for specific mRNA codon recognition, and the 3' end, to which the tRNAs corresponding amino acid is attached (by aminoacyl-tRNA synthetases). tRNAs cope with the degeneracy of the genetic code in two manners: having more than one tRNA (with a specific anti-codon) for a particular amino acid; and 'wobble' base-pairing, i.e. permitting non-standard base-pairing at the 3rd anti-codon position.
Source: Rfam by way of RNAcentral
GGGGAUUUAGCUCAGAGGUAGAGUGCUUGCCUAGCAAGCACAAGGCCCUGGGUUCAGAGUCCCCA